AGUGGCGAACGGGUGAGUAACACGUGGGCAACCUGCCCAAAAGAGGGGGAUAACACUUGGAAACAGGUGCUAAUACCGCAUAACCAUAGUUACCGCAUGGUAACUAUGUAAAAGGUGGCUAUACUACCGCUUUUGGAUGGGCCCGCGGCGCAUUAGCUAGUUGGUAGGGUAAAGGCUUACCAAGGCAAUGAUGCGUAGCCGAAUUGAGAGGUUGAUCGGCCACAUUGGGACUGAGACACGGCCCAAACUCCUACGGGAGGCAGCAGUAGGGAAUCUUCCACAAUGGGCGAAAGCCUGAUGCAGCGACGCCGCGUGAGCGAUGAAGUAUUUCGGUAUGUAAAGCUCUAUCAGCAGGGAAGAAAAUGACGGUACCUGACUAAGAAGCCCCGGCUAACUACGUGCCAGCAGCCGCGGUAAUACGUAGGUGGCAAGCGUUAUCCGGAUUUAUUGGGCGUAAAGGGAACGCAGGCGGUCUUUUAAGUCUGAUGUGAAAGCCUUCGGCUUAACCGGAGUAGUGCAUUGGAAACUGGGAGACUUGAGUGCAGAAGAGGAGAGUGGAACUCCAUGUGUAGCGGUGAAAUGCGUAGAUAUAUGGAAGAACACCAGUGGCGAAAGCGGCUCUCUGGUCUGUAACUGACGCUGAGGUUCGAAAGCGUGGGUAGCAAACAGGAUUAGAUACCCUGGUA
Molecule: ribosomal RNA, 686 nt
Filed under: uncultured bacterium
Lineage: Bacteria
Description: bacterial SSU rRNA
Rfam family: Bacterial small subunit ribosomal RNA
Source: RNAcentral